RNAcentral lists this non-coding RNA (88 nucleotides) under Okibacterium fritillariae. RNAcentral's name for it is "Glycine sequence". It matches the Rfam family "Glycine riboswitch aptamer". From Rfam's summary of the family: This family represents the bacterial glycine riboswitch. The record is from Rfam by way of RNAcentral. Lineage: Bacteria; Bacillati; Actinomycetota; Actinomycetes; Micrococcales; Microbacteriaceae.
ACACGCGAUGCGGGAGAGCUCGGUUCGCCGAGCACCGAAGGAGCAAGCCUCCCCGCCAAUCUCUCAGGUUCUGUACCGCAUCGAACUG